AAAUUGAAGAGUUUGAUCAUGGCUCAGAUUGAACGCUGGCGGCAGGCCUAACACAUGCAAGUCGAGCGGUAGCACAGAGAGCUUGCUCUCGGGUGACGAGCGGCGGACGGGUGAGUAAUGUCUGGGAAACUGCCUGAUGGAGGGGGAUAACUACUGGAAAC
RNAcentral lists this ribosomal RNA (161 nucleotides) under Klebsiella aerogenes. RNAcentral describes it as "partial 16S ribosomal RNA". It matches the Rfam family "Bacterial small subunit ribosomal RNA", at positions 1 to 157 of the family's 1533-position model. RNAcentral also lists the same sequence under 2 other names. The record is from RNAcentral. Lineage: Bacteria; Pseudomonadati; Pseudomonadota; Gammaproteobacteria; Enterobacterales; Enterobacteriaceae.